GAAUUAAUGUGGACACAGUGUAGGUUUCACGAAAUUAAUUGAACUUGUUCAAUUCUACAUCAUGUCUGUCAACGUUAUAGCAGUAGAAGGGAGACUCCAUCUUUGUUGUAUAAAUAUACAAAAUCUCAACAAUUGGAGAUCGGUCACAUGUUGUUAAUUUUUUGUGUCAUUUUGAUCUAUUUUGGAGAAUUGUCUCAUUGGCAAUCAUACCACA
RNAcentral lists this long non-coding RNA (214 nucleotides) under Mytilus galloprovincialis (Mediterranean mussel). Lineage: Eukaryota; Metazoa; Mollusca; Bivalvia; Mytilida; Mytilidae. The record is from RNAcentral.